This 562-nucleotide ribosomal RNA is filed under the name uncultured Actinomycetes bacterium. RNAcentral's name for it is "bacterial SSU rRNA". It matches the Rfam family "Bacterial small subunit ribosomal RNA", at positions 38 to 617 of the family's 1533-position model. Lineage: Bacteria; Bacillati; Actinomycetota; Actinomycetes. The record is from RNAcentral.
GGCGGCGUGCCUAACACAUGCAAGUCGAACGAGGUCCAUCCUUCGGGAGAAGACCUAGUGGCGAACGGGUGAGUAACACGUGAGGAACCUGCCCCGAAGACCGGGAUAACCCUCCGAAAGGAGAGCUAAUACCGGAUACCCCCACCGAACCGCAUGGUUUGGUGAGGAAAUGGAUUCCGCUUCGGGAGGGCCUCGCGGCCUAUCAGCUAGUUGGUGGGGUAACGGCCCACCAAGGCAUCGACGGGUAGCUGGUCUGAGAGGACGAUCAGCCACACUGGGACUGAGACACGGCCCAGACUCCUACGGGAGGCAGCAGUGGGGAAUCUUGCGCAAUGGGCGAAAGCCUGACGCAGCAACGCCGCGUGGGGGAUGAAGGCUCUCGGGUUGUAAACCCCUUUCAGCAGGGACGAAUCAAGACGGUACCUGCAGAAGAAGCCCCGGCUAACUACGUGCCAGCAGCCGCGGUAACACGUAGGGGGCAAGCGUUGUCCGGAUUUAUUGGGCGUAAAGAGCUCGUAGGUGGCUGAGUAAGUCGGAUGUUAAAUCCCCAGGCUCAACCUGG